This 24-nucleotide microRNA is filed under the name Anopheles gambiae (African malaria mosquito). RNAcentral describes it as "aga-miR-263a". Its record names the gene aga-miR-263a. Lineage: Eukaryota; Metazoa; Arthropoda; Insecta; Diptera; Culicidae. The record is from miRBase by way of RNAcentral.
UGUAAUGGCACUGGAAGAAUUCAC